UACGGAGGGAGCUAGCGUUGUUCGGAAUUACCGGGCGUAAAGCGCACGUAGGCGGCGAUUCAAGUCAGAGGUGAAAGCCCGGGGCUCAACCCCGGAACUGCCUUUGAAACUAGAUUGCUAGAAUCCUGGAGAGGUUAGUGGAAUUCCGAGUGUAGAGGUGAAAUUCGUAGAUAUUCGGAAGAACACCAGUGGCGAAGGCGACUAACUGGACAGGUAUUGACGCUGAGGUGCGAAAGCGUGGGGAGCAAACAGG
This 253-nucleotide ribosomal RNA is filed under the name uncultured bacterium. RNAcentral describes it as "partial 16S ribosomal RNA". It matches the Rfam family "Bacterial small subunit ribosomal RNA", at positions 524 to 776 of the family's 1533-position model. The record is from RNAcentral.